CGUGUAGGCGGUUUAAUAAGUCAGAUGUAAAAGCCCCCGGCUUAACCGGGGAUGGUCAUUUGAAACUGUUAGGCUUGAGUGCGAGAGAGGGUAGUGGAAUUCCCAGUGUAGCGGUGAAAUGCGUAGAUAUUGGGAAGAACACCAGUAGCGAAGGCGGCUACCUGGCUCGACACUGACGCUAAGGCGCGAAAGCGUGGGGAGCAAACAGGAUUAGAUACCCUGGUAGUCC
Molecule: ribosomal RNA, 229 nt
Filed under: uncultured bacterium
Lineage: Bacteria
Description: partial 16S ribosomal RNA
Rfam family: Bacterial small subunit ribosomal RNA
Source: RNAcentral